Molecule: ribosomal RNA, 451 nt
Filed under: uncultured bacterium
Lineage: Bacteria
Description: partial 16S ribosomal RNA
Rfam family: Bacterial small subunit ribosomal RNA
Source: RNAcentral
GUGGGGAAUUUUGCGCAAUGGGGGAAACCCUGACGCAGCAACGCCGCGUGAGUGAUGAAGGCCUUCGGGUCGUAAAGCUCUGUCAGAGGGAAAGAAAUGCGGGAGGGUUAAUACCCCUUUUGCUUGACGGUACCCUCAAAGGAAGCACCGGCUAACUCCGUGCCAGCAGCCGCGGUAAUACGGAGGGUGCGAGCGUUGUUCGCAAUUAUUGGGCGUAAAGCGCGUGUAGGCGGUCUUUUAAGUCUGAUGUGAAAGCCCCGGGCUCAACCUGGGAAGUGCAUUGGAAACUGGGAGACUUGAAUACGGGAGAGGGUAGUGGAAUUCCUAGUGUAGGAGUGAAAUCCGUAGAUAUUAGGAGGAACACCGGUGGCGAAGGCGGCUACCUGGACCGAUAUUGACGCUGAGACGCGAAAGCGUGGGGAGCAAACAGGAUUAGAAACCCGGGUAGUCC